CUUAUUUCCGGUGUUCUGUCGAAACGGCCCCUCCGAGAAAACGCUUCUGAGAACGAUGUAGCUAGUCUAAAUAUUUCAUUUGCGCUAUACGGUAUAAUUUAUAGUGGAACCAUGGAUCCUAAGAUUUUACUAAACAACCCUACUCAUCCAGCGAGGAGGUCGGGUCGACAAAACAAUCGACGAAUGUUUUGUCAAACAGGUUAUGCUUGCCCAUACCAUAACCCCACCAUUCCCCAUGGAGCAGUCUGUUCACAACGUUGACAUCAGCAAAUCCACUCACCCACACGACACCAUUAACACUGUCUUCCCAGUACAAUUGAAACUGGGAUUCAUCAGUGAAAAGCACACUUGUCCAGCAGGCCAGGAAGGUGAGCAUUUGCCCACUGAAGUCGGUUAAGAUGCUGAUCGGCAGUCAGGUCAAGACCCUGCAGUUACUGUAAAGUUGACACCCACAGAUCCGCUGAAGAGGAGGAGGGAAGAGAACAAGAUCCCAUCCUCACGUGUCGAUGGCCAAAGCAGAGUUGCAAAGAAAAAGCCAUAUCUCAGACUGGCCAAUAAAAAUAAAAGAUUAAGAUGGGCAAAAGAACACAGACACUGGACAGAGGAACUCUGCCUAGAAGGCCAGCAUCCCGGAGUCACCUCUUCGCUGUUGACGUUGAGACUGGUGUUUUGCGGGUACUACUUAAUGAAGCUGCCAGUUGAAGAUUUGUGAGGCGUCUGUUUCUCAAACUAGACACUAAUGUACUUGUCCUCUUGCUCAGUUGUGUACCGGGGCCUCAUUCCUCUUUAUAUACUGGUCAGGGCCAGUUUGCACUGUUCUGUGAAAGGAUUAGUACACAGGGUUGUUCGAGAUCUUCAGUAUCUUGGCAAUUUCUCAGAACAAUAAUAGACUGACAAGUUUCAGAAGAAAGUUAUUUGUUUCUGGCCAUUUUGAGACUGUAAUUGAACUCACAAAUGCUGAUGCUCCAGAUACAAUGCAAAUUAUUUAUUUGAAAAUCAUACAAUGUGAUUUUCUGAAUUUUUGUUUUAGAUUCCGUCUCUCACAGUUGAAGUGUACCUAUGAUAAAAAUGACAGACCUCUACAUGCUUCAUAAGUAGGAAACACUGCCUAUUUUGCAGGUUAUCAAAUACUUGUUCUCCCCACUGCACAUAUUUAUUACAAAAAUAUAUCUGUCCUUCACUGAGAGAAGGGGUCAGAGGUUAUAUUAGUGUCCGCACCAUAGACCGUAUUGAAAACGGGAAACAAGCGUUUCCCAGAAAUGACUUUAGUCUGGAAUGUUCUUUGUUAAGAACUUCCCCUAACCUCUGUGUAGUGUGUUGAUUAACUACCCAGGAGACUUUCUAUCUUACAGUCACACCCUCACACCCUGAUAUAACCCCCCCCCUCCCUCCUGUCUCUUCCUUGCAGGACAUAGAUCAGUCUUGAUAUGCUUGACAGAGGGGAUCUCCAGCUUUCCUUCUCAGUAAGGCUGUUUCCCUGUUGAUUAGUUUGUUGAAUUAAUGAAUUAAUGUCAUGAUAGACUCAUAUUAAAUCUACUCAUUUACCUCAGAUCUCAAAAGAGUGUUUUAGUUGUUUUGUCUGACCAUGAAACAAGCCAAACAGAUAUUUUUUGCAUUACACAUUUUCCUGUUAAUUAAAAUUAGGCCAGACAAAUAAAAUGUAUAUUAUUUCCAUAUUUUUAUACUUAGAAUAUGAAAAGUGCUAAUCUGUGACAUCUGAAAGGUUAUCAUUUGUAGACAAAAGUUUUAACUAUUAUUUAUUUUUUACUAAAUUGCCAAAAAGUUGAACAAAAUCACAGCCAUUGUUGUUCUGUUUGUUAUAUCAGUCAAUCCCUGUCAAUUGUAAUGUUUUGUUUUGGGAUUAAAGUAUCAACAGUAGAAUCCUCUCAAUGUUCAACACAAGCAGACAACUGAUUGUGUGUAUGUUUGGGUCAGUGGAGUCUCCUUAGAGGGGAAAGGGGAGGAACAUCCUCCUCACUGAAUUUAAUUUAUUGCGACCGGGGCCCACUGGUGUAACUGCUAAACUGCUUUCUGACUGUAUACCGUGCUGUGUGAUUGGUAGCGGGUUUACUAACGCGUUAGUUCUAGUAGCUAUGUUGACUAUGCUGUGACAACGAUGUAGGCUGUGUGUAGCAGUUAUAGCAGUCAUGUUAUGAGGGUUUGGCUUGGAAAGUGUUUAUUUGCCUGGUCACAGACAGCUGAUGUGUUGUGCACUGAAGUCCACAAGCGACCGGGAGGUCCAUGGGGCGACGCACAAUUGGCCUAGCGUCGUCCGGGUUAGGGAGGGCUUGGUCGGUAGGGAUGUCCUUGUCUCAUCGCGCACCAGCGACUCCUGUGGCGGUCCGGGCGCAGUGCGCGCAAACCAAGGUUGCCAGGUGCACGGUGUUUCCUCCGGCACAUUGGUGCGGCUGGCUUCCGGGUUGGAUGCGUGCUGUGUUUAGAAGCAGUGAGGCUUGGUUGGGUUGUGUAUCGGAGGACGCAUGACUUUCAACCUUCGUCUCUCCCGAGCUCGUACGGGAGUUGUAGCGAUGAGACAAGAUAGUAGCUACUACAACAAUUGGACACCACGAAAUUGGGGAGAAAAAGGGGUAAAAUAAAUCAAUAAAAAGUUGUGAGAAGGAAUUAUAAAUACAACGAGCAAAGUGAUCGUGCUGUUUUGAAAAGUGAACUGUGUAUUCAUUCCGCUGAGUCUGUUAAAAAACUUUUCUUCAACGGAAGCAAACGGAACGGGAUAAAAUACAUUCUACUAAAGUAAAUAUUAGGCUACUUAUUCAUAUAGCAUGCAUGACUUUUCAAACUCAAUGAAAGACCUACAUCUACAUGGUUUUGAGUAAAGCCAAUUUGACAAGAGUCAAAUUACUGCACCUGUACAUAGCCCACCUAUAAUUUAGCCCAAACAACUACCUCUUUCCCUACUGUAUUUAAUUUAUUUAUUUUGCUCCUUUUCACCCCAUUAUUUUUAUUUCUACUUUGCACAUUCUUCCAUUGCAAAUCUACCAUUCCAGUGUUUUACUUGCUAUAUUGUAUUUACUUUGCCACCAUGGCCUUUUUUUGCCUUUACCUCCCUUAUCUCACCUCAUUUGCUCACAUCGUAUAUAGACUUGUUUCUACUGUAUUAUUGACUGUAUGUUUGUUUUACUCCAUGUGUAACUCUGUGUCGUUGUAUGUGUCGAACUGCUUUGCUUUAUCUUGGCCAGGU
Oncorhynchus masou masou (cherry salmon) is the source of this 3199-nucleotide long non-coding RNA. RefSeq lists it as uncharacterized. The record is from RefSeq and is a predicted model, not a curated record. NCBI's taxonomy places the organism in Eukaryota, Metazoa, Chordata, Actinopteri, Salmoniformes, Salmonidae. The transcript has 3 exons.